GCAUUGUUGGUCCAGCGGUAGGAUAUUUGCCUUCCAUCUACUACACCCCUCAGUAGGGCGAGCAAAUGGCUCGGGUUCGACUCCCGGACAAUGCA
Zopfia rhizophila CBS 207.26 is the source of this 95-nucleotide non-coding RNA. The record is from the annotation of a GenBank genome assembly. Lineage: Eukaryota; Fungi; Ascomycota; Dothideomycetes; Zopfiaceae.